AAAAAAAAGAAAAAAUAUUGGCAUUGUUAUGGCAUUAACAGCUAUAUAUAUGUACUUUUUUCAAAACAACAUUUAUAGCAUAACUUGAAUUUUCUAUUUAUUAGUAUAUACAUUUUUCUUCUUUUGAAAUGUGUAUUUUCUAGUUUAUUGGAUAUUGAAAACAAUCUUUGAUUUAUCAUUGUAAUUUAAGUUCACUGUCUCUUUUCCAGCAAUUAUUCUUUUUUCUCUUUUGUGCAGUAGUAGAAAACAAAAUCCAAGCAAGCAUAGACCGGCAAGAUAUUCAGCUGUCUGGAAGUCUGGAGAUUUUGUCCAGCAAGAAGCCCCCUAACAAAAGGCAGAAUGCCAAACUGAGUGCUGACCUCUGACAUGGCUCUGAUACCCCAGGCCCAUUAAGAGAGCCUUUUCUCCCAGCGGGGAGGUGAUAGAAUAUUCUGAAUUUUCUGUUGAAAAACUAAGACUAUAUGCAAAGAAAAAUUCCCCCCAACGGGUGCAAUUCUAUCUGGAUGAUGCCGUCUCAAAAUAAAUAGCCUGUGAGGUUUGUGGCUUAGAAGACUUGUGACCCCAUACCUCUUUGUGUCGUUUUGAAAUUUUGCCUCCAGUUCUGUUUCUCUGACAAGACCCAUGGCCACCUGCAGCCUAAUGCUGCCAUGAAGCUUUGUUCUGCUCUUUGGUUGCUGCUGGGUUCUUCUUGGAUUGAAAAGAAAAAUCACUUCAAUCAGUCCAUCUAUAAUGAAAUACUGAUCUAAUGUUUGAUACUCCACCAUGAAAUUAAAAUGAAACCGCCCUUGCCACCUCCACCCCCAGCGCCUGUUUCCGAAAGUUUUAUGAAGCUUCGUGGAUGCUUUACCUCAAAGAUGCCCUUGGGCUUCCUCCAGGAGAAUGAAGAGGAACGUUUCUUGCUGAGUCAGCUUGUCAUACAGAUCCUGAUGUGCAGCAGCAAAUUGCUCUGGCUCCGGGGGCAGGUCUCCAGCUGAAUGUGUGCCUACGAAUGGAAUCAAAGUCUCAUCAAAAUCUCAGUCAGUUCCUGAGGCAGAAGAGAUGGGUGUGUCUUAUCCAAGAUUUCUCUGGCUCCAGGGGCAGGUCUCCAGCUGAAUCUGUGCCUACAAAUGGAAUCAAAGUCUCAUCAAAGUCUCAGUCAGUUCCUGAGGCAGAAGAGAUGGGUGUGUCUUAUCCAAGAUUUCUCUGGCUCCAGGGGCAGGUCUCCAGCUGAAUCUGUGCCUACGAAUGCAAUCAAAGUCUCAUCAAAGUCUCAGUUCCUGAGGCAGAAGAGAUGGGUGUGUCUUAUCCAAGAUUUCUCUGGCUCCAGGGGCAGGUCUCCAAUGCAAACAAAGUCUCAUCAAAGUCUCAGUUCCUGAGGCAGAAGAGAUGGGUGUGUCUUAUCCAAGAUUUCUCUGGCUCCAGGGGCAGGUCUCCAGCUGAAUCUGUGCCUACAAAUGGAAUCAAAGUCUCAUCAAAGUCUCAGUCAGUUCCUGAGGCAGAAGAGGUGGGUGUGUCUUAUCCAAGAUUUCUCUUAUGGAACAAAGUUACAUCAAAGCCAAUUUAAAAGCCUAUGUA
This is a long non-coding RNA of Homo sapiens (human), 1554 nucleotides long. NCBI's taxonomy places the organism in Eukaryota, Metazoa, Chordata, Mammalia, Primates, Hominidae. The record is from Ensembl.